GCGUGAGUGAUGAAGGCCUUAGGGUUGUAAAGCUCUUUUACCAGGGAUGAUAAUGACAGUACCUGGAGAAUAAGCUCCGGCUAACUCCGUGCCAGCAGCCGCGGUAAUACGGAGGGAGCUAGCGUUGUUCGGAAUUACUGGGCGUAAAGCGCACGUAGGCGGUUAUUCAAGUCAGAGGUGAAAGCCCGGAGCUCAACUUCGGAACUGCCUUUGAAACUAGGUAACUAGAAUCCUGGAGAGGUGAGUGGAAUUCCGAGUGUAGAGGUGAAAUUCGU
RNAcentral lists this ribosomal RNA (275 nucleotides) under uncultured bacterium. RNAcentral describes it as "partial 16S ribosomal RNA". It matches the Rfam family "Bacterial small subunit ribosomal RNA", at positions 399 to 691 of the family's 1533-position model. The record is from RNAcentral.